RNAcentral lists this ribosomal RNA (446 nucleotides) under uncultured bacterium. Its description in RNAcentral is "partial 16S ribosomal RNA". It matches the Rfam family "Bacterial small subunit ribosomal RNA", at positions 338 to 795 of the family's 1533-position model. The record is from RNAcentral.
CCUACGGGGGGCUGCAGUCGAGAAUCAUUCACAAUGGGGGAAACCCUGAUGGUGCGACGCCGCGUGGGGGAAUGAAGGUCUUCGGAUUGUAAACCCCUGUCAUGUGGGAGCAAAUUAAAAAGAUAGUACCACAAGAGGAAGAGACGGCUAACUCUGUGCCAGCAGCCGCGGUAAUACAGAGGUCUCAAGCGUUGUUCGGAAUCACUGGGCGUAAAGCGUGCGUAGGCUGUUUCGUAAGUCGUGUGUGAAAGGCGCGGGCUCAACCCGCGGACGGCACAUGAUACUGCGAGACUAGAGUAAUGGAGGGGGAACCGGAAGUCUCGGUGUAGCAGUGAAAUGCGUAGAUAUCGAGAGGAACACUCGUGGCGAAGGCGGGUUCCUAGACAUUAACUGACGCUGAGGCACGAAGGCCAGGGGAGCGAAAGGGAUUAGAUACCCGAGUAGUC